GAUGAACGCUGGCGGCGUGCCUAAUACAUGCAAGUCGAGCGAACAGACGAGGAGCUUGCUCCUCUGACGUUAGCGGCGGACGGGUGAGUAACACGUGGAUAACCUACCUAUAAGACUGGGAUAACUUCGGGAAACCGGAGCUAAUACCGGAUAAUAUAUUGAACCGCAUGGUUCAAUAGUGAAAGACGGUUUUGCUGUCACUUAUAGAUGGAUCCGCGCCGCAUUAGCUAGUUGGUAAGGUAACGGCUUACCAAGGCAACGAUGCGUAGCCGACCUGAGAGGGUGAUCGGCCACACGGGAACGGAGACACGGUCCAGACUCCUACGGGAGGCAGCAGUAGGGAAUCUGCCGCAAUGGGCGAAAGCCUGACGGAGCAACGCCGCGUGAGUGAUGAAGGUCUUCGGAUCGUAAAACUCUGUUAUUAGGGAAGAACAAAUGUGUAAGUAACUAUGCACGUCUUGACGGUACCUAAUCAGAAAGCCACGGCUAACUACGUG
This 497-nucleotide ribosomal RNA is filed under the name uncultured bacterium. Its description in RNAcentral is "partial 16S ribosomal RNA". It matches the Rfam family "Bacterial small subunit ribosomal RNA", at positions 28 to 507 of the family's 1533-position model. The record is from RNAcentral.